GAAUGGGAGAUGCAAACACCCUAUGACAAUACCUUUAGCUGCAGUGACACCGAAUUCCCCCAUUUGCAUUCUAUCAUUCUUAUCUGCUGCGUGGGAUCCUAGUGAAAUCUCUAAUCGGCUUUUGCAGCAACCUAAUGCACGUGCUGGUAUCGCCUGGCCCUGUUCAUGCUGCUCAUGGGAACUGGAUCUUUGAGGAACCGCACAAGAAAAAUGAUGAUAUCAAGCAACUACAAUUUCUGCUCAGAGCUGGGCCACGGCAGGCGGGGAACCUUGGCUUCCUUCAUCACUGGAGCAA
Molecule: long non-coding RNA, 295 nt
Organism: Myotis myotis
Lineage: Eukaryota; Metazoa; Chordata; Mammalia; Chiroptera; Vespertilionidae
Exons: 3
Source: RefSeq, a predicted model, not a curated record